This 253-nucleotide ribosomal RNA is filed under the name uncultured bacterium. RNAcentral's name for it is "partial 16S ribosomal RNA". It matches the Rfam family "Bacterial small subunit ribosomal RNA", at positions 524 to 776 of the family's 1533-position model. The record is from RNAcentral.
UACGGAGGGUGCAAGCGUUAUCCGGAAUGAUUGGGCGUAAAGCGUCCGCAGGUGGCAGUUCAAGUCUGCUGUCAAAGACCGGGGCUUAACUUCGGAAAGGCAGUGGAAACUGAACAGCUAGAGUAUGGUAGGGGCAGAGGGAAUUCCUGGUGUAGCGGUGAAAUGCGUAGAGAUCAGGAAGAACAUCGGUGGCGAAGGCGCUCUGCUGGACCAUAACUGACACUCAGGGACGAAAGCUAGGGGAGCGAAUGGG